UUUAAAWGUAAUUUUUAUACUAAAUUAUUAAUAGUUAUGAUCUUUAAAAUUAAAGAAUUUGGCGGUAUUUUAGUCUAUUCAGAGGAACCUGUCAUAUAAUUGAUAUUCCACAAUUUAAUUGACUUACUUUAUUAGUUUAUAUAUCGUCGUAGUUUGAAUAUUUUUAUAGAAUAUUAAUAUUCAAGAUUUUUGAUAAUAAAAUAAAUCAGAUCAAGGUGUAGCUUAUAGGUAAGUAAUGGUGGGUUACAAUAAAAUUAUUUAUAUGGAUUUAAAAUUUUAAAUUUUAUUGAAAGUGGAUUUGAUAGUAAAUUUAAUUAAUUAAUUAAGUUGAUUUAAGCUCUAAAAUAUGU
This 350-nucleotide ribosomal RNA is filed under the name Curelius sp. BYU CO144. RNAcentral describes it as "partial 12S ribosomal RNA". The record is from RNAcentral. Lineage: Eukaryota; Metazoa; Arthropoda; Insecta; Coleoptera; Cryptophagidae.